This 80-nucleotide ribosomal RNA is filed under the name Magnusiomyces capitatus. RNAcentral's name for it is "partial 26S ribosomal RNA". The stretch from base 24 to 80 matches the Rfam family "Eukaryotic large subunit ribosomal RNA", at positions 1 to 57 of the family's 3401-position model. The record is from RNAcentral. Lineage: Eukaryota; Fungi; Ascomycota; Dipodascomycetes; Dipodascales; Dipodascaceae.
UUAGUUAACUACUUUAACUAUUUGCACCUCAUAUCAAGCAAGACUACCCGCUGAACUUAAGCAUAUCAAUAAGCGGAGGA